UUAAUCCUACGGGGGGCAGCAGUCGGGAAUAUUGCGCAAUGGAGGAAACUCUGACGCAGUGACGCCGCGUAUAGGAAGAAGGUUUUCGGAUUGUAAACUAUUGUCGUGAGGGAAGAAGAUGACAGUACCUCAGGAGGAAGCUCCGGCUAACUAUGUGCCAGCAGCCGCGGUAAUACAUAGGGAGCAAGCGUUAUCCGGAAUUAUUGGGUGUAAAGGGUGCGUAGACGGGAUGUCAAGUUAGUUGUGAAAUACCUCGGCUCAACUGAGGAACUGCAACUAAAACUAACAUUCUUGAGUGCAGGAGA
Molecule: ribosomal RNA, 305 nt
Filed under: uncultured bacterium
Lineage: Bacteria
Description: bacterial SSU rRNA
Rfam family: Bacterial small subunit ribosomal RNA
Source: RNAcentral